This 301-nucleotide ribosomal RNA is filed under the name uncultured bacterium. Its description in RNAcentral is "partial 16S ribosomal RNA". It matches the Rfam family "Bacterial small subunit ribosomal RNA", at positions 509 to 807 of the family's 1533-position model. The record is from RNAcentral.
CAGUCGCCGCGGUAAUACGUAGGUGGCAAGCGUUGUCCGGAAUUAUUGGGCGUAAAGGGCUCGCAGGCGGUUUCUUAAGUCUGAUGUGAAAGCCCCCGGCUCAACCGGGGAGGGUCAUUGGAAACUGGGAAACUUGAGUGCAGAAGAGGAGAGUGGAAUUCCACGUGUAGCGGUGAGAUGCGUAGAGAUGUGGAGGAACACCAGUGGCGAAGGCGACUCUCUGGUCUGUAACUGACGCUGAGGAGCGAAAGCGUGGGGAGCGAACAGGAUUAGAUACCCCCGUAGUCCCUGUCUCUUAUAC